UGCAGUCGAACGAGAAAGGUCUUUUCGGAGACCGAGUAAAGUGGCGGACGGCUGAGUAAUGCAUAGAUAACCUGCCCUCGAGAUGGGGACAACGCCUCGAAAGGGGUGCUAAUACCCAAUGCCGCCUCGGCCUUGCGAGGCUGAGGUGAAAGGAGGCCUCUGAUUUAAGCUUCCGCUCAAGGAGGGGUUUAUGUACUAUUAGCUUGUUGGUGAGGUAACGGCUCACCAAGGCUACGAUGGUUAGCCGACCUGAGAGGGUGACCGGCCACAUUGGGACUGAGACACUGCCCAGACUCCUACGGGAGGCUGCAGUCGAGGAUCUUCCGCAAUGCGCGAAAGCGUGACGGAGCGACGCCGCGUGGGUGAUGAAGGCCUUCGGGUUGUAAAGCCCUGUCAGCUAUUAUGAAUCGCGGGCGAUGAAUAGUUGUCCCGCUUGACAAAAGUAGCAAAGGAAGCACCGGCUAACUACGUGCCAGCAGCCGCGGUAAUACGUAGGGUGCAAACGUUGUUCGGAAUCACUGGGCAUAAAGAGCGCGUAGGCGGUUUGGUAAGUCAGCUGUGAAAUCCCCCGGCUUAACCGGGGAACUGCAGUUGAUACUGCCUGGCUAGAGUGCAGGAGGG
This 621-nucleotide ribosomal RNA is filed under the name uncultured bacterium. Its description in RNAcentral is "bacterial SSU rRNA". It matches the Rfam family "Bacterial small subunit ribosomal RNA", at positions 56 to 656 of the family's 1533-position model. The record is from RNAcentral.